GUCCUACUUUUGUCGAGAAAGUGUUUUGAAUUGUGUCAGGGCUGAGAAGAAGCAGCACUAAAAAAUUGUUUUUUUGGACAACAGUAGGCAUCC
RNAcentral lists this non-coding RNA (93 nucleotides) under Micromonas pusilla CCMP1545. The record is from Rfam by way of RNAcentral. Lineage: Eukaryota; Viridiplantae; Chlorophyta; Mamiellophyceae; Mamiellales; Mamiellaceae.